GGGGUUAUAGCUCAGCUGGGAGAGCGCCUGCCUUGCACGCAGGAGGUCUGCGGUUCGAUCCCGCA
RNAcentral lists this transfer RNA (65 nucleotides) under Vibrio cholerae HC-59A1. Its description in RNAcentral is "partial tRNA-Ala". It matches the Rfam family "tRNA", at positions 1 to 63 of the family's 71-position model. From Rfam's summary of the family: Transfer RNA (tRNA) molecules are approximately 80 nucleotides in length. The record is from RNAcentral. RNAcentral also lists the same sequence under 2 other names. Lineage: Bacteria; Pseudomonadati; Pseudomonadota; Gammaproteobacteria; Vibrionales; Vibrionaceae.